RNAcentral lists this ribosomal RNA (881 nucleotides) under marine metagenome. RNAcentral describes it as "bacterial SSU rRNA". It matches the Rfam family "Bacterial small subunit ribosomal RNA", at positions 284 to 1185 of the family's 1533-position model. The record is from RNAcentral.
UAGCUGAUUGAGAGGAUGAUCAGCCACAUUGGGACUGAGACACGGCCCAAACUCUACGGGAGGCAGCAGUAGGGAAUCUUGCACAAUGGAGGAAACUCUGAUGCAGCGAUGCCGCGUGAGUGAAGAAGGCCCUUGGGUUGUAAAGCUCUUUCGUCGGGGAAGAAAAUGACUGUACCCGAAUAAGAAGGUCCGGCUAACUUCGUGCCAGCAGCCGCGGUAAUACGAAGGGACCUAGCGUAGUUCGGAAUUACUGGGCUUAAAGAGUUCGUAGGUGGUUAAAAAAGUUGGUGGUGAAAUCCCAGAGCUUAACUCUGGAACUGCCAUCAAAACUUUUUAGCUAGAGUGUGAUAGAGGAAAGCAGAAUUUCUAGUGUAGAGGUGAAAUUCGUAGAUAUUAGAAAGAAUACCGAUUGCGAAGGCAGCUUUCUGGAUCAUUACUGACGCUGAGGAACGAAAGCAUGGGUAGCGAAGAGGAUUAGAUACCCUCGUAGUCCAUGCUGUAAACGAUGUGUGUUAGAUGUUGGAAAUUUAUUUUCAGUAUCGCAGUGAAAACGUUAAACACACCGCCUGGGGAGUACGACCGCAAGGUUAAAACUCAAAUGAAUUGACGGGGACCCGCACAAGUAGUGGAGCAUGUGGUUUAAUUCGAAGAUACGCGCAGAACCUUACCAACACUUGACAUGUUUGUCGCGACUUUAAGAGAUUAAAGUCUUCGGUUCGGCCGGACAAAACACAGGUGCUGCAUGGCUGUCGUCAGCUCGUGUCGUGAGAUGUUGGGUUAAGUCCCGCAACGAGCGCAACCCUCACUUUUAGUUGCCAUCAUUUAGUUGGGCACUCUGAAAGAACUGCCAGUGAUAAGCUGGAGGAAGGUGGGGAUGACGU